CAGGCCUAACACAUGCAAGUCGAACGGGAUACAUCAUUACGGUGAUGUUGAGAGUGGCGAACGGGUGCGUAACACGUGGUUAACCUGCCCCCGGGACGGGGACAACCGCUGGAAACGGCGGCUAAUACCGGAUAAUGCCUUUUACGGGGGACUGUAGGAGGCGAAAGGGAGCUUAUGGCUUUCGUCCGGGGAGGGGACUGCGGCCCAUCAGCUGGAUGGUGGGGUAAGGGCUCACCAUGGCUAGGACGGGUAGGGGAUCUGAGAGGGUGGUCCUCCACACCGGGACUGAGACACGGCCCGGACUCCUGCGGGAGGCAGCAGUGAGGGAUAUUGCGCAAUGGGCGAAAGCCUGACGCAGCGACGCCGCGUGGGUGAAGAAGGUUUUCGGAUCGUAAAGCCCUUUUCUGCGUGGAGAAGAUGACGGUAGCGCAGGAAUAAGUGUCGGCUAACUACGUGCCAGCAGCCGCGGUAACACGUAGGACACGAACGUUAUCCGGAAUUACUGGGCGUAAGGGGCGCGCAGGCGGUUUUACAAGACGGACAUGAAAGCCUGGGGCUCAACUCCGGGAGGCUGUCGGUGACUGUGAGA
This 589-nucleotide ribosomal RNA is filed under the name uncultured bacterium. Its description in RNAcentral is "bacterial SSU rRNA". It matches the Rfam family "Bacterial small subunit ribosomal RNA", at positions 43 to 640 of the family's 1533-position model. The record is from RNAcentral.